CACGUAGGGGGCAAGCGUUGUCCGGAUUUAUUGGGCGUAAAGAGCUCGUAGGCGGUUCGGUAAGUCGGGGGUGAAAUCCUGGAGCUCAACUCCAGAACUGCCUUCGAUACUGGCGAUCUUGAGUCCGGAAGAGGUGAGUGGAACUCCUAGUGUAGAGGUGGAAUUCGUAGAUAUUAGGAAGAACACCAGUGGCGAAGGCGGCUCACUGGUCCGGUACUGACGCUGAGGUGCGAAAGCGUGGGGAGCAAACAGG
Molecule: ribosomal RNA, 253 nt
Filed under: uncultured bacterium
Lineage: Bacteria
Description: partial 16S ribosomal RNA
Rfam family: Bacterial small subunit ribosomal RNA
Source: RNAcentral